Molecule: ribosomal RNA, 328 nt
Filed under: uncultured bacterium
Lineage: Bacteria
Description: bacterial SSU rRNA
Rfam family: Bacterial small subunit ribosomal RNA
Source: RNAcentral
AGAGUGGCGAUCACUUAGUAAUUAAAGAAUUUAUUGGACAGAGAUGAGCGUGCGUCCCAUUAGCUAGUUGGUGCGGUAACGGCGUACCAAGGCGACGAUGGGUAGCUGGUGUGAGAGCACGACCAGCCACACGGGCACUGAGACACGGGCCCGACUCCUACGGGAGGCAGCAGUGAGGAAUAUUGGUCAAUGGGCGGAAGCCUGAACCAGCCAUGCCGCGUGAAGGAUGAAGGCGUUCUGCGUUGUAAACUUCUUUUAUUUGGGAAGAAAAUUGUGGUUUCUACUGCAACCGACGGUACCAGAUGAAUAAGCACCGGCUAACUCCGUG